GGUGGCUCAGUGGCAGAGCACUUGCCUUGCAUGCAUGAGGCCCUGGGUUCGAUUCCUCAGCACCA
This is a non-coding RNA of Dipodomys ordii (Ord's kangaroo rat), 65 nucleotides long. The record is from Rfam. Lineage: Eukaryota; Metazoa; Chordata; Mammalia; Rodentia; Heteromyidae.